Molecule: ribosomal RNA, 264 nt
Filed under: Bacillus licheniformis
Lineage: Bacteria; Bacillati; Bacillota; Bacilli; Caryophanales; Bacillaceae
Description: partial 23S ribosomal RNA
Rfam family: Bacterial large subunit ribosomal RNA
Source: RNAcentral
CCCGUGGAGCUUUACUGCAGCCUGAUAUUGAAUGUUGGUACAGCUUGUACAGGAUAGGUAGGAGCCUUGGAAACCGGAGCGCCAGCUUCGGUGGAGGCAUCGGUGGGAUACUACCCUGGCUGUAUUGACCUUCUAACCCGCUGCCCUUAUCGGGCAGGGAGACAGUGUCAGGUGGGCAGUUUGACUGGGGCGGUCGCCUCCUAAAAGGUAACGGAGGCGCCCAAAGGUUCCCUCAGAAUGGUUGGAAAUCAUUCGCAGAGUGUA